This 85-nucleotide transfer RNA is filed under the name Felis catus (domestic cat). It matches the Rfam family "tRNA". From Rfam's summary of the family: Transfer RNA (tRNA) molecules are approximately 80 nucleotides in length. The record is from Rfam by way of RNAcentral. Lineage: Eukaryota; Metazoa; Chordata; Mammalia; Carnivora; Felidae.
GCCUGGGUGGCUCAGUCGGUUAAGCAUCUGAUUUCGGUUCAGGUCAUGAUCUCACAGUUUGUGGGUUUGAGCCCCACAUCGGGCU